RNAcentral lists this ribosomal RNA (312 nucleotides) under uncultured microorganism. RNAcentral's name for it is "bacterial SSU rRNA". It matches the Rfam family "Archaeal small subunit ribosomal RNA", at positions 330 to 644 of the family's 1478-position model. The record is from RNAcentral.
GUGCAGCAGGCGAGAAACCUUUACAAUGUCUUCACGGACGAUAGGGGAAUCCUGAGUGCUCUAGCAUUGCUAGAGCUUUUGCUUACUGAAAAGGUAGGCGAAUAAGUGGUGGGUAAGACGGGUGCCAGCCGCCGCGGUAAUACCCGCGCCACAAGUGGUGACCACGUUUAUUGGGUCUAAAGCGUUCGUAGCCGGCCUUGAUAAAAUUCUCGGUGAAAUCCUGUGUAAAAUCAUAGGGCGUGCCGGGAAGACUGUCAAGCUAGGAACCGGGAGAGGCUGAGGGUACCCCAGGAGUAGGGGUUAAAUGCCGUU